RNAcentral lists this long non-coding RNA (251 nucleotides) under Bos taurus (domestic cattle). Its description in RNAcentral is "long non-coding RNA NONBTAT024901". Lineage: Eukaryota; Metazoa; Chordata; Mammalia; Artiodactyla; Bovidae. The record is from RNAcentral.
GAUUCAGCCCCAGCACUGCACCUGAUACUGCAAAAUAAAUACCACAGGAUACCAAAAUAAAUACCACGAGGAUACCAAAAAAUAACCAAAUACUUGUUUGGGGAGGUGGUAAGAGUUACAGCCUAUAAUGCAGAAUGUGGUAAUAAUUCUUUCUUAACAUGACAUUCCUUGCACUUUUCAACCUAGUCCCAGUUUCUCAAUUUGCUCAGCUAUUGCAUUCUGCAAUUUCCACACCACCCUGACGAUUCAUA